GAUUAUGAAAAGGGUAAUUUAAGCAUCUAAGUUACUUUGGAACGACCUUGCAAGGUAUGCUAAGAGAUUGGGCCUUGCCGCACCAUUUAGUUAGUUGGGUAGGGUAAAGCCUUACCCAAAGACUAUGAUGUGUUAGCUGGACUGAGAGGUUUGAACGGCCACAUUGGGACUGAGACACGGGCCCAAACUCCUACGGGAGGCAGCAGUAAGGAAUUUUCGGCAAUGGAGGAAACUCUGACCGAGCAACGCCGCGUGAACGAAGAAGUAUUUCGGUACGUAAAGUUCUUUUAUUAAAGAAGAAAAAAAUGAUGGAAAAAUCAUUCUGACGGUAUUUAAUGAAUAAGCCCCGGCUAACUAUGUGCCAGCAGCUGCGGUAAUACAUAGGGGGCAAGCGUUAUCCGGAUUUAUUGGGCGUAAAGGGUGCGUAGGCGGUUAAAUAAGUCUAUGGUUUAAGUUCAAUGCUCAACAUUGUUGCGCUAUAGAAACUGUUUAACUAGAGUUGGAUAGAGGCAAGCGGAAUUCCAUGUGUAGCGGUAAAAUGCGUAAAUAUAUGGAGGAACACCAGAAGCGAAGGCGGCUUGCUGGGUCUUAACUGACGCUGAGGCACGAAAGCAUGGGGAGCAAACAGGAUUAGAUACCCUGGUAGUCCAUGCCGUAAACGAUGAGUACUAAGUGUUGGGUUAAACCAGUGCUGAAGUUAACACAUUAAGUACUCCGCCUGAGUAGUACGUACGCAAGUAUGAAACUUAAAGGAAUUGACGGGACUCCGCACAAGCGGUGGAUCAUGUUGUUUAAUUCGAAGAUACACGAAAAACCUUACCAGGUCUUGACAUAGCUUUGCAAAGUUGUAGAAAUAUAACAGAGGUUAUCAGAGUUACAGGUGGUGCAUGGUUGUCGUCAGCUCGUGUCGUGAGAUGUUGGGUUAAGUCCCGCAACGAGCGCAACCCUUAUUGCUAGUUACCAGCAUUUAGUUGGGGGACUCUAGUGAGACUGCCAAUGAUAAAUUGGAGGAAAGGUGGGGGAUUACGUCAAAUCAUCAUGCCCCUUAUGACCUGGGCUACAAACGUGAUACAAUGGCUGUUUACAAAGAGUAGCUGAAGCGUGAGUUUUUAGCCCAAUCUCAAAAAAAAACAGUCUCAGUUCGGGAUUUGAAAGUCUGCCAAACUCGACCUUUCAUGAAGGUCCCGUAUCGCUAAGUAUCGCGAUCCAGCAUGUCGGUGGUGAAAUAACCGUUUCUACGCUCCG
Molecule: ribosomal RNA, 1245 nt
Filed under: 'Tamarix sp.' witches'-broom phytoplasma
Lineage: Bacteria; Bacillati; Mycoplasmatota; Mollicutes; Acholeplasmatales; Acholeplasmataceae
Description: bacterial SSU rRNA
Rfam family: Bacterial small subunit ribosomal RNA
Source: RNAcentral